UAAAUACUAAUACCAGAUCGAUAGUGCACAAGUACCGUGAGGGAAAGGUGAAAAGAACUGAGGUGAUCAGAGUGAAAUAGAACCUGAAACCAUUUGCUUACAAUCAUUCAGAGCCCUAUGUAGCAAUACAGGGUGAUGGACUGCCUUUUGCAUAAUGAGCCUGCGAGUUGUGGUGUCUGGCAAGGUUAAGCAAACGCGAAGCCGUAGCGAAAGCGAGUCUGAAUAGGGCGCUUAGUCAGAUGCUGCAGACCCGAAACGAAGUGAUCUAUCCAUGAGCAAGUUGAAGCUAGUGUAAGAACUAGUGGAGGACUGAACCCAUAGGCGUUGAAAAGCCCCGGGAUGACUUGUGGAUAGGGGUGAAAGGCCAAUCAAACUUCGUGAUAGCUGGUUCUCUCCGAAAUAUAUUUAGGUAUAGCGUUGUGUCGUAAUAUAAGGGGGUAGAGCACUGAAUGGGCUAGGGCAUACACCAAUGUACCAAACCCUAUCAAACUCCGAAUACCUUAUAUGUAAUCACAGCAGUCAGGCGGCGAGUGAUAAAAUCCGUCGUCAAGAGGGAAACAACCCAGACUACCAGCUAAGGUCCCUAAAUCUUACUUAAGUGGAAAACGAUGUGAAGUUACUUAAACAACCAGGAGGUUGGCUUAGAAGCAGCCAUCCUUUAAAGAAAGCGUAAUAGCUCACUGGUCUAGUGAUUUUGCGCGGAAAAUAUAACGGGGCUAAAGUAAGUACCGAAGCUGUAGACUUGCACACAACUUAGAUUAUUUAAGUUUAGAAUAUGAGAAACUAAGUUAUAUGUUUAGUUAUAUUUUUACUGAUUUUUAUAGAGUAAAGAUAGAAAUAAAACUUAGUAAAAUCAGUAAAAAUAUUCUUAGACUAAAGUUAAGUAGUUUAAGUUGUGUGCAAGUGGUAGGAGAGCGUUCUAUUUGCGUCGAAGGUAUACCGGUAAGGAGUGCUGGAGCGAAUAGAAGUGAGCAUGCAGGCAUGAGUAGCGAUAAUUAAUGUGAGAAUCAUUAACGCCGUAAACCCAAGGUUUCCUACGCGAUGCUCGUCAUCGUAGGGUUAGUCGGGUCCUAAGUCGAGUCCGAAAGGGGUAGACGAUGGCAAAUUGGUUAAUAUUCCAAUACCAACAUUAGUGUGCGAUGGAAGGACGCUUAGGGCUAAGGGGGCUAGCGGAUGGAAGUGCUAGUCUAAGGUCGUAGGAGGUUAUACAGGCAAAUCCGUAUAACAAUACUCCGAGAACUGAAAGGCUUUUUGAAGUCUUCGGAUGGAUAGAAGAACCCCUGAUGCCGUCGAGCCAAGAAAAGUUUCUAAGUUUAGCUAAUGUUGCCCGUACCGUAAACCGACACAGGUGGGUGGGAUGAGUAUUCUAAGGCGCGUGGAAGAACUCUCUUUAAGGAACUCUGCAAAAUAGCACCGUAUCUUCGGUAUAAGGUGUGGUUCGCUUCGUAUUAGGAUUUACUCCGAAAGCGAAGAAACUUACAACAAAGAGUCCCUCCCGACUGUUUACCAAAAACACAGCACUCUGCUAACUCGUAAGAGGAUGUAUAGGGUGUGACGCCUGCCCGGUGCUCGAAGGUUAAUUGAUGGGGUUAGCAUUAGCGAAGCUCUUGAUCGAAGCCCGAGUAAACGGCGGCCGUAACUAUAACGGUCCUAAGGUAGCGAAAUUCCUUGUCGGUUAAAUACCGACCUGCAUGAAUGGCGUAACGAGAUGGGAGCUGUCUCAAAGAGGGAUCCAGUGAAAUUGUAGUGGAGGUGAAAAUUCCUCCUACCCGCGGCAAGACGGAGAGACCCCGUGGACCUUUACUACAGCUUGACACUGCUAUUUGGAUAAGAAUGUGCAGGAUAGGUGGGAGGCUUUGAGUAUAUGACGCCAGUUGUAUAUGAGCCAUUGUUGAGAUACCACUCUUUCUUAUUUGGGUAGCUAACCAGCUUGAGUUAUCCUCAAGUGGGACAAUGUCUGGUGGGUAGUUUGACUGGGGCGGUCGCCUCCCAAAUAAUAACGGAGGCUUACAAAGGUUGGCUCAGAACGGUUGGAAAUCGUUCGUAGAGUAUAAAGGUAUAAGCCAGCUUAACUGCAAGACAUACAAGUCAAGCAGAGACGAAAGUCGGUCUUAGUGAUCCGGUGGUUCUGUGUGGAAGGGCCAUCGCUCAAAGGAUAAAAGGUACCCCGGGGAUAACAGGCUGAUCUCCCCCAAGAGCUCACAUCGACGGGGAGGUUUGGCACCUCGAUGUCGGCUCAUCGCAUCCUGGGGCUGGAGCAGGUCCCAAGGGUAUGGCUGUUCGCCAUUUAAAGCGGUACGCGAGCUGGGUUCAGAACGUCGUGAGACAGUUCGGUCCCUAUCUGCCGUGGGCGUAAGAAGAUUGAAGAGAUUUGACCCUAGUACGAGAGGACCGGGUUGAACAAACCACUGGUGUAGCUGUUGUUCUGCCAAGAGCAUCGCAGCGUAGCUAAGUUUGGAAAGGAUAAACGCUGAAAGCAUCUAAGCGUGAAGCCAACUCUAAGAUGAAUCUUCUCUAAGCUCUCUAGAAGACUACUAGUUUGAUAGGCUGGGUGUGUAAUGGAUGAAAGUCCUUUAGCUGACCAGUACUAAUAGAGCGUUUGGCUUAUCUUUAAUAAAGCAU
This 2622-nucleotide ribosomal RNA is filed under the name Campylobacter jejuni. Its description in RNAcentral is "partial 23S ribosomal RNA". It matches the Rfam family "Bacterial large subunit ribosomal RNA", at positions 467 to 2925 of the family's 2925-position model. The record is from RNAcentral. Lineage: Bacteria; Pseudomonadati; Campylobacterota; Epsilonproteobacteria; Campylobacterales; Campylobacteraceae.